RNAcentral lists this non-coding RNA (157 nucleotides) under uncultured Ferdinandcohnia sp. RNAcentral describes it as "SAM riboswitch (S box leader)". It matches the Rfam family "SAM riboswitch aptamer (S box leader)". From Rfam's summary of the family: The SAM riboswitch is found upstream of a number of genes which code for proteins involved in methionine or cysteine biosynthesis in Gram-positive bacteria. The SAM riboswitch acts at the level of transcription termination control. The predicted structure consists of a complex stem-loop region followed by a single stem loop terminator region. Lineage: Bacteria; Bacillati; Bacillota; Bacilli; Caryophanales; Bacillaceae. The record is from RNAcentral.
UCUUAUCAAGAGCAGGCAGAGGGACUUGGCCCGAUGAAGCCCAGCAACCGACCGUAAUUCCAUCGCAAGGUGGGGCGCUAUUUAUAGCGCCGGGAAUCCCCCCAUAAGGCACGGUGCUAAUUCCAACAGGAAGUAUACUACUUCCUGGCAGAUAAGA